This 253-nucleotide ribosomal RNA is filed under the name uncultured bacterium. Its description in RNAcentral is "partial 16S ribosomal RNA". It matches the Rfam family "Bacterial small subunit ribosomal RNA", at positions 524 to 776 of the family's 1533-position model. The record is from RNAcentral.
UACGGGGGGGGCAAGCGUUGUUCGGAAUUACUGGGCGUAAAGGGCUCGUAGGUGGCCAACUAAGUCAGACGUGAAAUCCCUCGGCUUAACCGGGGAACUGCGUCUGAUACUGGAUGGCUAGAGUUUGGGAGAGGGAUGCGGAAUUCCAGGUGUAGCGGUGAAAUGCGUAGAUAUCUGGAGGAACACCGGUGGCGAAGGCGGCAUCCUGGACCAACACUGACACUGAGGCACGAAAGCGUGGGGAGCAAACAGG